RNAcentral lists this ribosomal RNA (451 nucleotides) under uncultured bacterium. RNAcentral describes it as "partial 16S ribosomal RNA". It matches the Rfam family "Bacterial small subunit ribosomal RNA", at positions 354 to 796 of the family's 1533-position model. The record is from RNAcentral.
GUGGGGAAUAUUGGACAAUGGGCGGAAGCCUGAUCCAGCCAUGCCGCGUGUGUGAAGAAGGCCUUUUGGUUGUAAAGCACUUUAAGCGAGGAGGAGGCUCUUAAGGUUAAUACCCUUGAUGAGUGGACGUUACUCGCAGAAUAAGCACCGGCUAACUCUGUGCCAGCAGCCGCGGUAAUACAGAGGGUGCGAGCGUUAAUCGGAUUUACUGGGCGUAAAGCGUGCGUAGGCGGCUGAUUAAGUCGGAUGUGAAAUCCCUGAGCUUAACUUAGGAAUUGCAUUCGAUACUGGUCAGCUAGAGUAUGGGAGAGGAUGGUAGAAUUCCAGGUGUAGCGGUGAAAUGCGUAGAGAUCUGGAGGAAUACCGAUGGCGAAGGCAGCCAUCUGGCCUAAUACUGACGCUGAGGUACGAAAGCAUGGGGAGCAAACAGGAUUAGAUACCCUGGUAGUCC